CGGGGCUCCAGUACCUUGCUAACCCGGUGACAACGCAUGUUCAGAGUGCGGAGCAACACAAUCAGGAUGUUAACUCGCUGGGGUUGAUAUCUGCACGGAAGUCGGCUGAGGCGGUGGAGAUACUGAAGCUGAUGAUGUCGACGUUCAUGGUUGGUCUGUGCCAGGCGAUGGACUUGAGGCAGAUGGAGGAGAAUUUGCGAGAGGUCGUGAAACAUGCGGUGGUUGCGGCUGCGGAGAUCACGGAGUUGAGUGCUAAUGCUGAUGUUUUGAAGGAGUUGGUGCAGGUUGUAGAGAGGCAGCCGGUGUAUUCUUACAUUGAUGAUCCGGCGAACCCGGCAUAUGCGCUAAUGCUGCAGCUGAGGGAGGUAGUGGUGGAGCGGGCGGUCGGCGGGUCGGAAGAGGGGAUGACAGCCUUCAAGAAGGUGCCAGCGUUUCAGGCUGAGUUGAAGGAGAGGCUUAACAAGGAGGUGGGAAGGGCGAGAGAGAGGUUUGGGAGAGGGGAUUUUGUUGUGGG
This 514-nucleotide unclassified non-coding RNA is filed under the name Hevea brasiliensis (rubber tree). The record is from RNAcentral. Lineage: Eukaryota; Viridiplantae; Streptophyta; Magnoliopsida; Malpighiales; Euphorbiaceae.